CACUGAUUGAUUAAAGAGCCGCGGUAUUUUGACCGUGCAAAGGUAGCAUAAUCAUUAGCAUAUUAAUUGUGUGCUGGAAUGAAAGGUUUGACGAGAAAUAUACUGUCUCUAUUGUAUUUUUAUAAUUUUAUUUUCUAGUUAAAAAGCUGGGAUUUUUUUUUAGGACGAUAAGACCCUAUAGAGUUUGAUUCUAUAUAUUUUAUUAUUUUGGGUUUAAUUAUUAAUAAUUAAUUUUAUUUUGAAUUUUGUUGGGGUGAUGUGAAUAAUAAUUAAACUAUUCAUUGUUAUUAUCAUUGAUUUAUGUUUUUUAUGAUCCUUUAUUAUUGAUUUAAAGAUAAAAUUACCUUAGGGAUAACAGCGCAAUUAUUUUUGAGAGUUCUUAUUGACAAGGUAGAUUGUGACCUCGAUGUUGGAUUAAGGUUUUUUUAGGUGAAGGUGCUUAAUUUAAUUGGUCUGUUCGACCAUU
RNAcentral lists this ribosomal RNA (466 nucleotides) under Coptotettix beihaiensis. RNAcentral's name for it is "partial 16S ribosomal RNA". It matches the Rfam family "Bacterial large subunit ribosomal RNA", at positions 1910 to 2589 of the family's 2925-position model. The record is from RNAcentral. RNAcentral also lists the same sequence under 3 other names. Lineage: Eukaryota; Metazoa; Arthropoda; Insecta; Orthoptera; Tetrigidae.